AACGCCUGCGCGGGGUAUGUCAAUGGUUUUUACCUUUCAGACUAGAGAACAAAGUACACAGGAGAGACACCUGUGACAUACAUUAUUUUGGAUACACAAUUCUGUGAAUAUUAUUGUCAACACCAAAGGGCCUAAAUCUAGCGAAACAACUACCUGGGUGGGUGAACAAACGUGGAGGAACUGGGCUCUGAGGAUUUAAUGGAUACUGUUUGCCAAAUGGAUUGUACCUGAAGUCGGAGAGAAGGUUGUCAACGGAACUACCAGCCAGGACUCCAUUUUGGAGAAAAGGUUGUCAACGGAACUACCAGCCAGGACUCCAUUUUGGAGAAAAGGUUGUCAACGGAACUACCAGCCAGGACUCCAUUUUGGAGAAAAGGUUGUCAACGGAACUACCAGCCAGGACUCCAUUUUGGAGAAAAGGUUGUCAACGGAACUACCAGCCAGGACUCCAUUUAGGAGAAAAGGUUGUCAACGGAACUACCAGCCAGGACUCCAUUUUGGAGAAACGGCAGCUGAUCACCAUGGAGCCCCCGGAGGACUCCCAGUGCCCGUUGAUGUUCUGGGAGAGAAUGAAGCAUUGCAGCAGUUCUUUGACGCAUGUUACCAGAGUCACCACCAGAUUCUGGUUCAGAACCGUGUUCACCUCCGCUAAUACCAGACGUGAGCUACGGCUACCAGGAAGUCUUCCAGACAGUAACACGUCCUCCAGCCUCAUCGUGCCGAUAUAAAGAGCUGGCACCACAACCCCCACCACAACCAGGACUGCCAUACCACCAGGGGCUGACUAACUCUUACACCAAGGCAGGCACAUCUCCAGGCUCACUGCCCCACAACCCCCCUCCACCACC
This is a long non-coding RNA of Oncorhynchus tshawytscha (Chinook salmon), 848 nucleotides long. NCBI's taxonomy places the organism in Eukaryota, Metazoa, Chordata, Actinopteri, Salmoniformes, Salmonidae. The record is from Ensembl.